RNAcentral lists this ribosomal RNA (28 nucleotides) under Resinicium mutabile. RNAcentral's name for it is "partial large subunit ribosomal RNA". The record is from RNAcentral. Lineage: Eukaryota; Fungi; Basidiomycota; Agaricomycetes; Hymenochaetales.
CUGACCUCAAAUCAGGUAGGACUACCCG